Molecule: ribosomal RNA, 347 nt
Filed under: Apanteles sp. Rodriguez06
Lineage: Eukaryota; Metazoa; Arthropoda; Insecta; Hymenoptera; Braconidae
Description: eukaryotic LSU rRNA
Rfam family: Eukaryotic large subunit ribosomal RNA
Source: RNAcentral
AGCGAACAAGUACCGUGAGGNAAAGUUGAAAAGAACUUUGAAGAGAGAGUUCAAGAGUACGUGAAACCGUUCAGGGGUAAACCUGUGAAACCCAAAAGAUCGAAUGAGGAGAUUCAUCGUCAGCGUAUUCAGUAUUAAUGCAGGCUAUGAUGUGAUAAUAGAAUCCUCGUGGUCACUAGAUUAUACUUGCUUGUAUUAUUUUUGCUGGGUAUGUCGGCGUGCACUUCUCCUCUAGUAGAACGUCGCGACCCGUUGGAUGUUUAUUUAUGGUCUGAUUGGUAGCCUUUGAUAUUUACUAUAUUGAAGACCUUUUGGUGUCCUGAUAAACUGUCUGACGGUAUACAUAU